AGCAGCCGCGGUAAUUCCAGCUCCAAUAGCGUAUAUUAAAGUUGUUGCAGUUAAAAAGCUCGUAGUUGAAUUUCGGGAUUAGUACGUCGGUCGUGCCUUCGGUACGUACUGGUGUUACUGGUUCCUACCUUCUGACGAACCGUCAUGUCAUUAAUUUGGUGUGGCGGGGAAUCAGGACUGUUACUUUGAAAAAAUUAGAGUGUUUAAAGCAGGCUCGCGCUUGAAUACAUUAGCAUGGAAUAAUGAAAUAGGACGUUUGAUUCUAUUUUGUUGGUUUCUAGGAUCGACGUAAUGAUUAAUAGGGAUAGUUGGGGGCAUUAGUAUUCAAUUGUCAGAGGUGAAAUUCUUGGAUUUAUUGAAGACUAACUACUGCGAAAGCAUUUGCCAAGGAUGUUUUCAUUAAUCAAGAACGAAAGUUAGGGGAUCGAAGACGAUCAGAUACCGUCGUAGUCUUAACCAUAAACUAUGCCGACUAGGGAUCGGAUGAUGUAUUUUUAAUGACUCAUUCGCGCCUUACGGG
This 520-nucleotide ribosomal RNA is filed under the name uncultured Glomus. Its description in RNAcentral is "SSU rRNA". It matches the Rfam family "Eukaryotic small subunit ribosomal RNA", at positions 569 to 1094 of the family's 1831-position model. Lineage: Eukaryota; Fungi; Glomeromycota; Glomeromycetes; Glomerales; Glomeraceae. The record is from RNAcentral.